CGCUAUCAUCCUACGGGAGGCAGCAGUGGGGAAUAUUGCACAAUGGGCGCAAGCCUGAUGCAGCCAUGCCGCGUGUGUGAAGAAGGCCUUCGGGUUGUAAAGCACUUUCAGUCGUGAGGAAGGUAGUGUAGUUAAUAGCUGCAUUAUUUGACGUUAGCGACAGAAGAAGCACCGGCUAACUCCGUGCCAGCAGCCGCGGUAAUACGGAGGGUGCGAGCGUUAAUCGGAAUUACUGGGCGUAAAAGCGCAUGCAGGUGGUUUGUUAAGUCAGAUGUGAAAGCCCCGGGGCUCAACCUCGGAAUAGCAUUUGAAACUGGCAGACUAGAGUACUGUAGAGGGGGUAGAAUUUCAGGUGUAGCGGUGAAAAUGCGUAGAGAUCUGAAGGAAUACCGGUGGCGAAGGCGGCCCCCUGGACAGAUACUGACACUCAGAUGCGAAAGCGUGGGGAGCAAACAGGAUUAGAUACCCUGGUAG
RNAcentral lists this ribosomal RNA (474 nucleotides) under uncultured bacterium. RNAcentral describes it as "bacterial SSU rRNA". It matches the Rfam family "Bacterial small subunit ribosomal RNA", at positions 329 to 793 of the family's 1533-position model. The record is from RNAcentral.